AUCCGGGUUGCGGACAGUGUCUGGUGGGUAGUUUGACUGGGGCGGUCUCCUCCUAAAGAGUAACGGAGGAGCACGAAGGUUGGCUAAUCCUGGUCGGACAUCAGGAGGUUAGUGCAAUGGCAUAAGCCAGCUUGACUGCGAGCGUGACGGCGCGAGCAGGUGCGAAAGCAGGUCAUAGUGAUCCGGUGGUUCUGAAUGGAAGGGCCAUCGCUCAACGGAUAAAAGGUACUCCGGGGAUAACAGGCUGAUACCGCCCAAGAGUUCAUAUCGACGGCGGUGUUUGGCACCUCGAUGUCGGCUCAUCACAUCCUGGGGCUGAAGUAGGUCCCAAGGGUAUGGCUGUUCGCCAUUUAAAGUGGUACGCGAGCUGGGUUUAGAACGUCGUGAGACAGUUCGGUCCCUAUCUGCCGUGGGCGCUGGAGAACUGAGGGGGGCUGCUCCUAGUACGAGAGGACCGGAGUGGACGCAUCACUGGUGUUCGGGUUGUCAU
This 490-nucleotide ribosomal RNA is filed under the name Salmonella enterica subsp. enterica serovar Typhimurium. Its description in RNAcentral is "partial 23S ribosomal RNA". It matches the Rfam family "Bacterial large subunit ribosomal RNA", at positions 2238 to 2727 of the family's 2925-position model. The record is from RNAcentral. Lineage: Bacteria; Pseudomonadati; Pseudomonadota; Gammaproteobacteria; Enterobacterales; Enterobacteriaceae.